UCCUCUGCAGUUUUCCUGACUGCUACAUUUCAUGAGAAGGGAUUAUUCUUGAGGGUUCUGGAGCUGCAGCCCAGGGGAGGAGCCAGUGCUGCCACUGACACCUCAGGGUCGUGGAGGUGAAAAUCCCAGAGGAACAGGUGCUCCUGUUGCAGUUUGAGGUUCCUGGAGCUGGAGACGCAGGGAGAAGAUGGCGCUGCUGUUCUAAUUUAAGGAUCAUGAAGCCGGAGACGCAGAAAGGAGCUGGUGCUGCCACUGCUCACAUCUGAGGGUUUUAGAGCUGGAGCCUGGGGGUGGAGCUGCUGCUGCCUUUGAAGUCUGAGAGUCAUUGACCUGGAGGUCCAGGAAGGAGCUGGUGCUGCUGUUCUAGUUUGAGAGUCAUGGAGCUGCAGACCCAGGGAGGAGCAAUGUUGUCAUAGUUCAAGGGUCAGGAAGCUGAUGACACAGGAAGGAGAGAUCUUGAUCUGCUUUGAGGGUCGUGGAGCUGCAGACCCAGGGAGGAGCAAUGUUGUCAUAGUUCGAGGGUCCGGAAGCUGGCAACACAGGGAGGAGAGAUCUUGUUUUAGUUUGAGGGUUGUGGAGCUGCAGACCCAGGGAGGAGCAAUGUUUUUGUAGUUCCAGGGUCCGGAAGCUGGUGACCCAGGGAGGAGAGAUCUUGUUCUAGUCUGAGGGUCGUGGAGCUGCAGAUCCAGGGAGGAGCAAUGUUGUUAUUUGGGGACUGGAAGCUGCAGACCUAGGGAGGAGAGGUCUUGUUCUAGUUUGAGGGUCAUGGAGCUGCGGACCCAGGGAGGAGCAAUGUUGUUUUAGUUCGAAGGUUCGGAAGCUGGUGACUCAGGGAGGAGAGGUCUUGUUCUAGUCUGAGGGUCGUGGAGCUGCAGAUCCAGGGAGGAGCAAUGUUGUUAUUUGAGGGACUGGAAGCUGCAGACCUAGGGAGGAGAGAUCUUGUUUUAGUUUGAGGGUCGUGGAGCUGCGGACCCAGGGAGGAGCAAUGUUUUCAUAGUUCAAGGGUCCGGAAGCUGGCGACACAGUGAGGAGAGGUCUUGUUCUAGUUUAAGGGUCGUGGAGCUGCAGACCCAGGGAGGAGCAAUGUUGUUAUUUGAGGGACUGGAAGCUGAUGACACAGGGAGGAGAGAUCUUGUUUUAGUUUGAGGGUCAUGGAGCUGGAGACCCAGGGAGGAGCAAUGUUUUCGUAGUUCGAGGGUCCGGAAGCUGGUGACCCAGGGAGGAGAGAUCUUGUUGUAGUCUGAGAGUCAUGGAGCUGCAGAUCCAGGGAGGAGCAAUGUUGUUAUUUGAGGGACUGGAAGCUGCAGACCUAGAGAGGAGAGGUCUUGUUUUAGUUUGAGGGUCGUGGAGCUGCAGACCCAGGGAGGAGCAAUGUUGUUAUUUGAGGGACUGGAAGCUGAUGACACAGGGAGGAGAGAUCUUGUUUUAGUUUGAGGGUCGUGGAGCUGCAGACCCAGGGAGGAGAGAUCUUGUUUUAGUUUGAGGGUCGUGGAGCUGCAGACCUAGGGAGGAGCCAUGUUUCCAUAGUUCAAGGGUCAGGAAGCUGGCAACACAGGGAGGAGAGGUCUGGUUCUAGUUUGAGGGUUGUGGAGCUGCAGACCCAGGGAGGAGCAAGGUUGUUUUAGUUUGAGGCUCCGGAAACUGGCGACGCAGGGUGGAGAGGUCUUGUUCUAGUUUGAGGGUGCGCCCAGGGAGGAGCAAUGCUGUCAUAGUUCGAGGGUCAGGAAGCUGGACACAGGGAGGAGAGAUCUUGAUCUGGUUUGAGGGUCGUGGAGCUGCGGACCCAGGGAGGAGCAAUGUUUUCAUAGUUCGAGGGUCCGGAAGCUCGCGACCCAGGGAGUAGAGGUCUUGUUCUAGUCUGAGGGUGGUGGAGCUGGAGAUCCUUGGACGAGCUGGUGCUGCAGUUUAAAUCUGUGGAUCCUGGAGCUGGAGCCCUAGGCAUUAGCUGGUAUUGCUGUUGUUCAUAUAUGAGGGUUAUGGGGCUUGAGGUACAGGGAGGAGACGCUGCUGCUGUUCAAAUCUGCGGGUCGUGUAGCUGGAGAGCGGGGAGGAGGUAGUCCUGGUGUCUAGUGUGAGGGUGGUGGAGCUGUAGACCUGGGGAGGAGCUGGUGCUGCUGUGUAGUUUGAGGGUCAUGGAACUGGAGACCUAGGGAGGAACCAGUACUACCGCCAUUGAAGUCAGAGGGUUGUGGAUCUCGAGUUUUCGGGGACAGCCCGUGCUGCUAUGUAACUGUGGGGAGGAUCCAGUGUGUCAGGUGAUGUCUGAGGGUUUGGGAGCUGGAGACCCAGGGAGGAGCCGGUGCUCCUCUUCUAGUUUGAGGGUAGUGGAGCUGGAAAUCCUGGGAAGAGCCAGUGCUGCCAUUUAAAUCUGUGGGUCCUGGAGCUGGAACCCUUGUGGGAAGCCGGUUCUGCCAUUCAUGUCUUAGGGUCGUGGAGCUGGAAACCCAGGGAGGCAGCGGUGCUGCUGUUCUAGUUUAAGGAUCAUGAAGCUGGAGAUCUGGACAGGAGCUGGUGCUACCAUUAUUCAAAUCUGAGGGUUGUGGAGCUGGAGCCUUGGUGAGUUGCCGGUGCUGCCUCAUCUGAGAGUUGCUGAGCUGGAGAUCCAGACAGGAACCUGUGUUGCUGUUGUAGUUUGACGGUCAUGGAGCUGGAGACUCAGGGAGGAGGGGUGCGGUUCUAGUCUGAGGGUUGUGGAGCUGGAGACCCAGGGAGGAGCUGGUGCUGCUGCUGUUUAAGGCUGAAGGUUGUGGAGCUGGAGACCAGGGAGGGAGCUGCUGUUGCUGUUGAUCAAGUCAGAGGGUCAUGGGGCUUGAGGUACAGGGAGGAGCUGGUGCUGCUGUUGCAGGUUUAGGGUCAUGGAGCUGGAAAUCUAGGGAGGAGCUGCUGCUGCUGUUCAAGUUUGAGGGUCGUGUAGCUGGAGAGCGGGAAGGAGGUAGUCUUGAUGUCUAGUGUGAGGGUGGUGGAGCUAUAGACCUGGGGAGGAGCCGGUGCUGCUGUGUAGUUUGAGGGUCAUGGAACUGGAGACCUUGGGAGGAGCCAGUGCUACUGAGGGUCGUGUAUCUGGAGCUUUGGGGAACAGCCCGUGCUGCUGUUUAACUGUGGGGAGGAUCUGCUGUGUUAGUUGAAGUUUGAGGGUUUGGGAGCUGGAGACCCAGGGAGGAGCUGAUGAUGCCAUUCUAUUUUGAGGGUCAUGGAUCUGGAGACCUGGGGAGAGGCCGGUACUGCUGUUGUAGUUUGAGGUUCGUGGAACUGGAGACAGGGGGAGGAGCCGGUGCUGCUGUUCAUGUCUGAGGGUUGUAGAGCUGGAGACCCAGGGAGAAGCCCGUACUACGGCUUUUUAAGUCUGAGGGUCGUGGAGCCUGAGACCUGGGGAGGGGCCAGUGCUGCUGUUCAAAUGGCUCAUUCCGGGGUCUCCAGCUCCAUGACCUUCAAACUAGGACAGCAGCAGCAGCUCCUCCCGGGGUCUUCCAGCUCCAUGACCCUCACACUAGAACAGCAGCAGCAGCUCCUCCCGGGGUCUUCCAGCUCCAUGACCCUCACACUAGAACAGCAGCACCGGCUCCACCCUGGGUCUCCAGAUCCAUGACCCUCAAACUAGAACAGCAGCACUGACUCCUCCCCGGGUCUCCAGCUCUACAACCCUCAGACUUGAGGAGUUGGAGACUCGGGGAGGAGCCAGGGCUGCUUUUCUACUUUGAGGGUUGUGGAGCUGGAGACCCAAGAUGCAGCAGCUGCUGCUAUUCUAGUUCGAGGGUCUUGGAGCCAGAACCUUUUUGAGGAGCUGGUGCUGCCUUUCAAGUCUGAGAGUCAUUGAGCUGGAGUUCCAGGGAGGAACCGGUGUUGCUAUUCUAGUCUGAGUGUAGUGAAGCUGGAGACCCAAGGAGGAGCCGGUGCUGCUGUGUAGUUUGAGGGUCGUGGAACUGGAGACUUAGGGAGGAGUUGGUGCUAUCGCCCUUUAAGUCAGAGGGUCGUGGAUCUGGAGCUUUGGGGAACAGCCCGUGCUGCUGUUUAACUGUGGGGAGGGUCCGGUGUGUCAAUUGAAGUUUGAGAGUUUGGGAGCUGGAGACCCAGGGAGGAGCCGGUGAUGCCAUUCUAUUUUGAGGGUCGUGGAUCUGGAGACCUGGGGAGAGGCCGGUACUGCUGUUGUAGUUUGAGGUUCGUGGAACUGGAGACAGGGGGAGGGGGCGGUGCUGCUGCUGUUCAUGUCUGAGGGUUGUAGAGAUGGAGACCCAGGGAGAAGCCCGUACUACGGCUUUUUAAGUCUGAGGGUCGUGGAGCCUGAGACCCGGGGAGGGGCCAGUGCUGCUGUUCAAAUGGUUCCUCCCCGGGUCUCCAGCUCCAUGACCUUCAAACUAGGACAGCAGCACCAGCUUGGAGCCAGAAACUUUCUGAGGAGCCAGUGCUGCCUUUCAAGUCUGAGACUUGUAAGAGCUGGAGACCCAGGGAGGAACAAGUGUUGCUGUUCUAGUCUGAGGGUAGAGAAGCUGGAGACCCAAGGAGGAGCCUGUGCUGCUGUUCAUGUCUGAGGAUUGUGGAGCUGGAGAACCAGAGGGGAGCUGGUGCUGCUGAUCGUGUUUGAAGGCUGUGGAGCUGGAGAUCCCAGGAAGAGCCGGUGCUGCCGUUUAUAUCUGUGGGUCUUGGAGCUGGAGCCCUAGCGGGGAACCCGGUCCUGCCAUUCAUGUCUUAGGGUCGUGGAGCUGGAAACCUAGGGAGGUGGUGGUGCUGCUGUUCUAGUUUAAGGAUCAUGAAGCUGGAGACCUGGACAGGAGCUGGUGCUACCGCUGUUCAAAUCUGAGGGUCAUGGAGCUGGAGCCUUGGGGAGGUGCCGGUGCUGCCUCUCAAGUCUGAGGGUUGUUGAGCUGGAGAUUCAGGGAGGAGCCGGUGUUGCUGUUGUUGUUGGAGGAUUGUGGAGCUGGAGGCCGAAGAGGAGCUGGUGUUGCAGUUCAAGUUUGACGGUCGUGUAGCUGGAGACCUAGGGAGGAGCUGGUGCUACCACCGUGUAAGUUGAGGGUUGUGGAGCUGGUGGCGCUGGGG
RNAcentral lists this long non-coding RNA (5034 nucleotides) under Homo sapiens (human). RNAcentral describes it as "HSALNT0268159". Lineage: Eukaryota; Metazoa; Chordata; Mammalia; Primates; Hominidae. The record is from RNAcentral.